Molecule: long non-coding RNA, 1400 nt
Filed under: Chrysemys picta bellii (western painted turtle)
Lineage: Eukaryota; Metazoa; Chordata; Testudines; Emydidae
Description: lncRNA (ENSCPBG00000017120.1)
Source: RNAcentral
GAUAUGGGGCCAUUGCACUUUAAGGGGCGCUGGCUUGAUCUGGCCCCAGGUGGGUAGUAAGUAACCCAGUAAUAACAUCAGCUGGGGGAGGGUGAGUCCAUUUCACAAGAAGACCAUGCAGCUGCCCCCUAGAAUGUGAGCAGUGGGUCGCCCGCGUCAGAGGCACCAGGACCAGCUGUCUGUGGCUGGGUGGUGACAUGUCCAUCGCUUGUACUGACCCAAUGCUCCAGCAGGGGGCACUGUGCUCUUGGAGCAACAGACAACCCUUGCAAGGGACAUAACAUAGAGGUCUUGGCCGUUAAAGAUCCCACCACACUUCUCACAAGUCAGGGUGUGAACCCUGCUGUCCCGGCUAGAUUCCAUAUUGGAUAAUUACCUUCUGUCUCCCUAAAUUCCCCCUGCAGUUUCAAGUGGAUGUGGGAUUCUCCUUCACUUCCUGUCCUAAACUGUUGUGUAGCGUUGCUGUGCGCUGUUAAACAGCUGCUACGUUCCACCCCAGAGGUGGCUGCAUUACAGUGGUGGGUGAGUGACUCCUGCUUUUGUAUAUAGCUUGUAAAAUGCUUGAGACCCUGCAGGGGUCUGUGGAGCUGUGACUAGGGCGUUCCAGACCCUGCGCUGGUUGUGUUCUCUCUGCAGCCCCCGUCAGGCUGGGCGUCUCUUCUCUCUGAUCUCUCCCAGCAGCUCACAUGGACGCGGCAUCCCAGGGGCAGACAGCUCCCUCUCCUGUGCCAAGUAAGACUUUCUUUACACUCCUUCGCCCAGCAAACUCCCAGCCCUGUGAGUAGAGGGUUCUGAUGACCUUCAUUCUGUUCUAGUUCUCAUUGCAGACACCGGGCCCCCGUUCGCUCCCCUCCCCACCCUUGGUAAGUACACCACUGCCUGCUCCACAAUCCUUUGCUCACCCCCCUGGGACCGGGACAGCGCCACCUCUUACACGCAGCCUCUACUCUCCUUGCAGACUUCCACCCGGCCCUCGCUGCCUUCCCGCCGCUGAAGCAGGAGAGUGCGGAACGGGAGGCUGAUUCUCCUGUGGAGUGCCAGGUGCCCGCGGGGCAGGGAGCAGGGGAGCGGGUGCUGCCAGUCACCGUCGGAGACCAAGGCUCACCUGAGACAACACCUGGCGGUGAGCACCCCCUGCUGGGUGACCAGGCCUCAGCUACAGACCUGCAAGGCCCCAGCGUGGUGAGCCUGCUCCAGACCAUGCAGCAGCUCCUGGUGCAGAUCCUCCGCACCUCGCAGCAGCAGCAGGUGCUGCUGGAGAGCCUGGCCAGCGACACCAUCGCCCACCUUCACCUCAUCUCCGACAACCUGGUGCAGGUGGGUGAGACCCUGCACGAGCUGCUGCUCCAGGCUCACGCCCGCUCCGCCGACCUGCCCGCCCCGCUCAGCCACACGCCCCC